This 673-nucleotide unclassified non-coding RNA is filed under the name Hevea brasiliensis (rubber tree). The record is from RNAcentral. Lineage: Eukaryota; Viridiplantae; Streptophyta; Magnoliopsida; Malpighiales; Euphorbiaceae.
GAGCACUCUCUCUAUGUGAAAAUCCAAGGGGCAUGAUACUAUCUCAUGAAACUGACCCAACGGGCACUUUCCUCUACCUGGAUCCUCAUUUCCUUGCAACAGGAGAACUCUCUCCGAAUUCAGACACUUACUCAUUUGGAAUUAUAUUGUUACAAUUAUUGACAGGAAGAUCAGCCUUUAGCAUAGCAAGUGAAGUCAGAGAUGUGAUAGAUGAAAGAAAUCUGAGUUCCUUUUUGGAUCCCCAAGGAGGCGACUGGCCAUUUGUCCAAGCCAAACAAUUGGCUCAACUGGCUUUGAGUUGCUGCGCAAGGUACCAAAGUAGCCGACCAGACCUUGCAUCAGAGGUGUGGAGGGUGCUUGAACCGAUGAGAACAUUUUCCUCACCACUGGUCCAAUUUGGUUCUCAAGAGGGUGAACAGCCCCCUUCCUAUUUCUUUUGUCCUAUUUUGCAGGAAGUGAUGCAAGAUCCUCAUGUGGCAGCAGAUGGAUUUACUUAUGAAGCAGAGGCAUUGACAGGCUGGCUGGAGAGUGGGCACAACACUUCACCAAUGACAAACCUAGUGCUUGACAACUUGAAUCUUGUUCCCAACCGUUCUCUUCGUUCUGCAAUUCAGGAUUGGCAGCAACAGCACCCAAAUGCCAUUUUCUAGAUUCGCAACUAACCUUAAGCUAG